Molecule: non-coding RNA, 29 nt
Filed under: Mus musculus (house mouse)
Lineage: Eukaryota; Metazoa; Chordata; Mammalia; Rodentia; Muridae
Source: RNAcentral
UGAAAGGCUGAUACCUGUAAUUUGAGUGC